Molecule: ribosomal RNA, 200 nt
Filed under: uncultured bacterium
Lineage: Bacteria
Description: partial 16S ribosomal RNA
Rfam family: Bacterial small subunit ribosomal RNA
Source: RNAcentral
AGAGUUUGAUCCUGGCUCAGAACGAACGCUGGCGGCACGUUUUAAGCAUGCAAGUCGGACGGCAGUGGGGGCAACCCCAUGAGAGUGGCGAACGGGUGAGUAACACGUAGGUGAUCUGCCUUGAGGCUGGGGAUAGCCUGUGGAAACACAGGGUAAUACCGAAUGAGCUGGAUUGACUUUGGUUGAUCUAGGAAAGGUGC